GACGAACGCUGGCGGCGUGCCUAAUACAUGCAAGUAGAACGCACAGUUUAUACCGUAGCUUGCUACACCAUAGACUGUGAGUUGCGAACGGGUGAGUAACGCGUAGGUAACCUGCCUGGUAGCGGGGGAUAACUAUUGGAAACGAUAGCUAAUACCGCAUAAUAUUGAUUAUUGCAUGAUAAUUGAUUGAAAGAUGCUAUUGCAUCACUACCAGAUGGACCUGCGUUGUAUUAGCUAGUAGGUGAGGUAACGGCUCACCUAGGCGACGAUACAUAGCCGACCUGGGGGGGUGAUGGGCCACACGGGAACUGAGACCCGGCCCAAACCCCUAGGGGGGGCAGCGGUGGGGAAUUUUCGGCAAUGGCGGAAGGUUGGCCCGGGCAACGCCGCGUGGGGGAAGAAGGUUUUGGGAUUGUAAAGCUUUUUUGUAAGGGAAGAAGGGGGGGGGGAGGGGAAAGUUCACACUGGGAGGGUUUUUUACCAGAAAGGGGGGGCGAACUGCGU
RNAcentral lists this ribosomal RNA (504 nucleotides) under uncultured bacterium. Its description in RNAcentral is "partial 16S ribosomal RNA". It matches the Rfam family "Bacterial small subunit ribosomal RNA", at positions 28 to 506 of the family's 1533-position model. The record is from RNAcentral.